AAGUCGUAACAAGCUUUCCGUAGGUGAACCUGCGGAAGGAUCAUUAUUGAUUGGUCGAAAGACCUUAUCAGAUUCUACCACCUCUGUGAACUGUUGGACCUCUGGGUCUACAAUCAAACAUCAGUGUAACGAACGUAAGAGGGUAUCUUAACGAAACAAAACUUUCAACAACGGAUCUCUUGGCUCUCGCAUCGAUGAAGAACGCAGCGAAAUGCGAUAAGUAAUGUGAAUUGCAGAAUUCAGUGAAUCAUCGAAUCUUUGAACGCACCUUGCGCCUUUUGGUAUUCCGAAAGGCAUGCCUGUUUGAGUGUCAUGAAAUCUCAACCCUUCUAGGUUUUUGACCUGGUUGGGCUUGGACAUGGGUGUCUGCCAGCAAUGGCUCACCUCAAAUGACUUAGUGGAACAUCCCGCAUCAGUGUUAGACGUAAUAAGUUUCGUCUCUCCUUGUGGUGAUGACCGCUCAUAACCUGCCAUUGCGCACUUUUGACUUUGACCUCAAAUCAGGUAGGGCUACCCGCUGAACUUAA
RNAcentral lists this ribosomal RNA (527 nucleotides) under uncultured fungus. RNAcentral's name for it is "eukaryotic LSU rRNA". The stretch from base 160 to 313 matches the Rfam family "5.8S ribosomal RNA". The record is from RNAcentral. Lineage: Eukaryota; Fungi.